RNAcentral lists this ribosomal RNA (253 nucleotides) under uncultured bacterium. Its description in RNAcentral is "partial 16S ribosomal RNA". It matches the Rfam family "Bacterial small subunit ribosomal RNA", at positions 524 to 776 of the family's 1533-position model. The record is from RNAcentral.
UACGAGGGGUGCAAGCGUUGCUCGGAAUUAUUGGGCGUAAAGGGUAGGUAGGUGGUCUCAUUUGUCUGGGGUGAAAUCCUUGAGCUUAACUCAAGAAGUGCCUCAGAAACGGUGAGACUAGAGUACUGGAGAGGGUCGUGGAAUUCCCGGUGUAGCGGUGAAAUGCGUAGAGAUCGGGAGGAACACCAGCGGCGAAGGCGGCGACCUGGACAGUCACUGACACUCAACUACGGAAGCGUGGGGAGCAAACAGG